GACGAACGCUGGCGGCGUGCUUAACACAUGCAAGUCGAACGGAAAGGCCCCUUCGGGGGUACUCGAGUGGCGAACGGGUGAGUAACACGUGGGCAAUCUGCCCUGCACUUCGGGAUAAGCCUGGGAAACUGGGUCUAAUACCGGAUAGGACCACUUGGCGCAUGCCUUGUGGUGGAAAGCUUUUGCGGUGUGGGAUGGGCCCGCGGCCUAUCAGCUUGUUGGUGGGGUGAUGGCCUACCAAGGCGACGACGGGUAGCCGGCCUGAGAGGGUGUCCGGCCACACUGGGACUGAGAUACGGCCCAGACUCCUACGGGAGGCAGCAGUGGGGAAUAUUGCACAAUGGGCGCAAGCCUGAUGCAGCGACGCCGCGUGGGGGAUGACGGCCUUCGGGUUGUAAACCUCUUUCAGCAGGGACGAAGCGAAAGUGACGGUACCUGCAGAAGAAGCACCGGCCAACUACGUGCCAGCAGCCGCGGUAAUACGUAGGGUGCGAGCGUUGUCCGGAAUUACUGGGCGUAAAGAGCUCGUAGGUGGUUUGUCGCGUUGUUCGUGAAAACCGGGGGCUUAACCCUCGGCGUGCGGGCGAUACGGGCAGACUAGAGUACUGCAGGGGAGACUGGAAUUCCUGGUGUAGCGGUGGAAUGCGCAGAUAUCAGGAGGAACACCGGUGGCGAAGGCGGGUCUCUGGGCAGUAACUGACGCUGAGGAGCGAAAGCGUGGGGAGCGAACAGGAUUAGAUACCCUGGUAGUCCACGCCGUAAACGGUGGGUACUAGGUGUGGGUUUCCUUCCUUGGGAUCCGUGCCGUAGCUAACGCAUUAAGUACCCCGCCUGGGGAGUACGGCCGCAAGGCUAAAACUCAAAGGAAUUGACGGGGGCCCGCACAAGCGGCGGAGCAUGUGGAUUAAUUCGAUGCAACGCGAAGAACCUUACCUGGGUUUGACAUGCACAGGACGCGUCUAGAGAUAGGCGUUCCCUUGUGGCCUGUGUGCAGGUGGUGCAUGGCUGUCGUCAGCUCGUGUCGUGAGAUGUUGGGUUAAGUCCCGCAACGAGCGCAACCCUUGUCUCAUGUUGCCAGCGGGUAAUGCCGGGGACUCGUGAGAGACUGCCGGGGUCAACUCGGAGGAAGGUGGGGAUGACGUCAAGUCAUCAUGCCCCUUAUGUCCAGGGCUUCACACAUGCUACAAUGGCCGGUACAAAGGGCUGCGAUGCCGCAAGGUUAAGCGAAUCCUUUUAAAGCCGGUCUCAGUUCGGAUCGGGGUCUGCAACUCGACCCCGUGAAGUCGGAGUCGCUAGUAAUCGCAGAUCAGCAACGCUGCGGUGAAUACGUUCCCGGGCCUUGUACACACCGCCCGUCACGUCAUGAAAGUCGGUAACACCCGAAGCCAGUGGCCUAACCCUUGGGAGGGAGCUGUCGAAGGUGGGAUCGGCGAUUGGGACGAAGUCGUAACAAGGUAACCGUACCGGAAGGUGCGGCUGGAUCACCUCCUUUCU
This 1494-nucleotide ribosomal RNA is filed under the name Mycobacterium europaeum. RNAcentral describes it as "16S ribosomal RNA". It matches the Rfam family "Bacterial small subunit ribosomal RNA". Lineage: Bacteria; Bacillati; Actinomycetota; Actinomycetes; Mycobacteriales; Mycobacteriaceae. The record is from RNAcentral.